GAUGAACGCUGACAGAAUGCUUAACACAUGCAAGUCUUUGGCGAAUCUGUGCUUGCACAGGCUAGCCAAGGCGGACGGGUGAGUAACGCGUAAAGAACUUGCCCUGCAGACAGGGAUAACAGACGGAAACGACUGACAACACCUGAUACAGUUGCCGGCACGCAUGUGCCUGGCAAUGAAAAGAGAUGCUGCGGGAGAGCUUUGCGUCCUAUUAGCUUGUUGGCGGGGUAACGGCCCACCAAGGCGAUGAUAGGUAGCCGGCCUGAGAGGGUGAACGGCCACAAGGGGACUGAGAUACGGCCCUUACUCCUACGGGAGGCAGCAGUGGGGAAUAUUGGACAAUGGGGGCAACCCUGAUCCAGCAAUUCUGUGUGCACGAUGAAGGUUUUCGGAUUGUAAAGUGCUUUCAGCAGGGAAGAAGGAAGUGACGGACCUGCAGAAGAGCG
This 446-nucleotide ribosomal RNA is filed under the name Leptotrichia hofstadii. RNAcentral's name for it is "bacterial SSU rRNA". It matches the Rfam family "Bacterial small subunit ribosomal RNA", at positions 28 to 491 of the family's 1533-position model. Lineage: Bacteria; Fusobacteriati; Fusobacteriota; Fusobacteriia; Fusobacteriales; Leptotrichiaceae. The record is from RNAcentral.